GUGAAUCAUCGAAUCUUUGAACGCACAUUGCGCCCGCCAGUAUUCUGGCGGGCAUGCCUGUCCGAGCGUCAUUUCAACCCUCGAACCCCUCCGGGGGGUCGGCGUUGGGGAUCGGCCCUUUACGGGGCCGGCCCCGAAAUACAGUGGCGGUCUCGCCGCAGCCUCUCCUGCGCAGUAGUUUGCACACUCGCAUCGGGAGCGCGGCGCGUCCAUUGCCGUUAAACACCCAACUUUCUGAAAUGUUGACCUCGGAUCAGGUAGGAAUACCCGCUGAACUUAAGCAUAUCAAUAAGCGGAGGA
RNAcentral lists this unclassified non-coding RNA (300 nucleotides) under Trichoderma sp. RNAcentral's name for it is "partial contains 5.8S ribosomal RNA, internal transcribed spacer 2, and large subunit ribosomal RNA". The stretch from base 1 to 71 matches the Rfam family "5.8S ribosomal RNA", at positions 84 to 154 of the family's 154-position model. The record is from RNAcentral. Lineage: Eukaryota; Fungi; Ascomycota; Sordariomycetes; Hypocreales; Hypocreaceae.